AUUAUAACGGUUUUUGAUAAUUCUUUUGUGCAACAAAAAGUAAAUGAAGAAAGCCAAACGUGUGUAAAAGUUAAAUAAGUGUGAUUUUUACUGACAAUAACUUAAUAAUAUUUCAAAUAAUAUAAAAUGGAUAGAUUUUUAAACAAAAAACAAAAACCCAGUGAAGCAGAUGAUACUGAAGACGCUUCUACUAGCAAUGAAAAAACUAAAAAUCAAUCAAUAAAAAGAAAAUUUCGGGCAGAAUGAUUACAUUCUUUCGAUUGGCUUCGGGAAAAGAAUGGUAAUGCAUAUUGUAUUGCAUGUUCAAGACAGAUAGUGAGCAAUUGUAGCCACCUUAAGGCGCACGAGAAAUCACUUUCCAUCUUCAAAACUAUGAAAGCCAGAAAAAUCAAUAUACAAAUUUUACAACAACGAUCAACAAAGUCUAAGCCGACAAGUCAGAAAUGCUGAACUUACCCUUAACACAUAACUUACCAUUUUUGUUGAUGGAUUACUUGCCAUUGUUAUUGACAGAGUGUUGUCCGGAUUCGGCAAUAUCUAAGCUAAUUAAAUGUGGUAGGACAAAAUCUGUUCAAUUAGCUGACUACAUUGCUAAACAGGCAAGUGAAAAAAAAUGUCAAUUUUAAAAAGUAAAAGGUUUUAAUUAAUUGUGGAUGAAACUACAGACGUAUAUAUGAGGAAAUGUAUUGUUUUAGUUGCUCGUUACUUCGACGGUGUUGGUUCUGUACAAGAUAGGUUUAUCGCUUUAUUAGAGAUCACUAAGGCAGAUGCAACUUCAAUUUUUCAAAUUAUAACAGAUUUUUUUUUCUGCACAUAACGUUCCUUUAAAAAAUUGAUCGGGUUGGCAACAGACGGAGCUAACGUUAUAACUGGUGAUGUUGGUGGACUUAAAAGAUUACUUACUAAUGAAACUGACUUGUUUUAGAUUAAAUGUACAUGUCACUCACUCCACCUCUGCUCUAGUUACGCAUGUAAAAUGUUGCCAAAAAAAUAUUGAGCUUCUUUGUCGUAAUAUAUACACUUUUUUCUCUCAUAGUCCCAAAAGAAUUAACGAACUAAAAGAAUUUCAAGAAUAUUGUUUUGUGAAAUCUCAUAAAAUAUUAGGUGUUUGCCAAACGAGAUGGUUAUCUUUAGAAUGUGUUAUUUCAAGAAUUAUUGAACAAUGGGACAGUUUAAAAUUGUAUUUUAUAUCACGUUUUUAUGAGGUAAAUGGUAUAAGAGCAGCAGAACUGGCAGAAAGUAUGUCUAAUAAAGUCAAAACUUAAAUUGAAUUAUUAAACCAAAUUAAUUCCAGAUUUGAUUUUAAACGUGAAGAUAUCAAACUUUUACAAAUAAUUACCUCAUCAAAAGUACUCUCUAAAGAAGAUUUACCAAUAUUGUCCCUUGUUCUAAAAUUUUCGAAUCUCAUAGAUUGUGAUCCUGAUAUUAUUAUUUCUCAGUGGAAUUUGAUAAGAUUAUCGGACAUCAAUCUUUCAACUGAUUUAAAUAUUGAUUUAUUUUGGGAUCAAAUAAAUUCAAUUAAAAUGGUUUAAAUGAGAGCACUUAUGUUAAUUUGGCUAACUUUGUUUUUAAUUUGCUUUCAUUGCCACAUACAGUGUCUCACAUAAAUAUUCGAAUUUAUUAUUUUUUAUGAAUUACUGUGUUAUUUUAUGA
This is a long non-coding RNA of Lucilia sericata (common green bottle fly), 1653 nucleotides long. RefSeq lists it as uncharacterized. The transcript has 3 exons. NCBI's taxonomy places the organism in Eukaryota, Metazoa, Arthropoda, Insecta, Diptera, Calliphoridae. The record is from RefSeq and is a predicted model, not a curated record.